Molecule: non-coding RNA, 107 nt
Organism: Fictibacillus phosphorivorans
Lineage: Bacteria; Bacillati; Bacillota; Bacilli; Caryophanales; Fictibacillaceae
Source: Rfam
CAUUACCACUAGGGGUGCCUUUGUUAAGGCUGAGAUUAAAGUGAACUUUAAGACCCUUGGAACCUGAUUUGGUUAGAACCAGCGUAGGGAAGUGGUGUGUGGAUCAG